GAUGAACGCUGGCGGCAUGCCUAAUACAUGCAAGUCGAGUGUACACACCAGGAUCCUGUUCUUCUCUCGCUAGCUGCCCACGCCCGAGUAACACCUCGCUCACCUACCCAUACGACUCGGACAACUUCGGGAAACCAGAGCUAAUAUCGGAUAAUCUUUUGAACCGCAUGGCCUAAUAGUGCAACCCCGUUUUCCUGUCACUUCUAGACGGACCCGUGCCGCAUUAGCUGCUUGGUAAGGUCACGGCUUACCACGGCUACGAUGCGUAGCCGACCUGAGAGGGUACUCGGCCACACUGGAACUGGAAGACGGGCCAGACCCCUACGGGAGGCGGCAGUAGGGAAUCUUCCGCAAUGGGCGGAGGCCUGACGGAGCGACGCCGCGUGGGUGAUGAGGGGCUUCGGAUCGUAAAGCACUGUUAUUAGGGAAGAACAAAUGUGUGAGUGACUAUGCACGUGUUGACGGUACCGAAGCAGAAGGCCACGGCUAACUAGUUG
This 497-nucleotide ribosomal RNA is filed under the name uncultured bacterium. RNAcentral describes it as "partial 16S ribosomal RNA". It matches the Rfam family "Bacterial small subunit ribosomal RNA", at positions 28 to 507 of the family's 1533-position model. The record is from RNAcentral.